GAUUUUGUGCUGCAAUGGUUAGCAAUCUAGACUCUGAAUUUAGUGAUUUAAAUUCAAAUUUCAGUAGAAACU
This 72-nucleotide transfer RNA is filed under the name Sarcophilus harrisii (Tasmanian devil). It matches the Rfam family "tRNA". From Rfam's summary of the family: Transfer RNA (tRNA) molecules are approximately 80 nucleotides in length. Their secondary structure includes four short double-helical elements and three loops (D, anti-codon, and T loops). Lineage: Eukaryota; Metazoa; Chordata; Mammalia; Dasyuromorphia; Dasyuridae. The record is from Rfam by way of RNAcentral.